CCGAGUUUUCUACUCCCAAACCCCUGUGAACUUAUACCUUUACUGUUGCUUCGGCGGGUUAACGCCCCGGAACGGCCCCCCAAGGCCUCCCGGAACCAGGCGCCCGCCGGGGGACCCAAACUCUUGUUUUUAUAGUGUCUCUUCUGAGUGGCAUAAGCAAAUAAUUA
RNAcentral lists this unclassified non-coding RNA (167 nucleotides) under uncultured Pochonia. RNAcentral describes it as "sequence contains ITS1". The record is from RNAcentral. Lineage: Eukaryota; Fungi; Ascomycota; Sordariomycetes; Hypocreales; Clavicipitaceae.